GCCAGUGUGGCUCAGUGGUUAGAGCGUCGGCCUGCGGACUGAAGGGUCCCGGGUUCGAUUCCCAGACAAGGGCC
This is a non-coding RNA of Myotis lucifugus (little brown bat), 74 nucleotides long. NCBI's taxonomy places the organism in Eukaryota, Metazoa, Chordata, Mammalia, Chiroptera, Vespertilionidae. The record is from Rfam.